This 329-nucleotide unclassified non-coding RNA is filed under the name soil metagenome. RNAcentral's name for it is "partial contains 5.8S ribosomal RNA, internal transcribed spacer 2, and large subunit ribosomal RNA". The stretch from base 1 to 120 matches the Rfam family "5.8S ribosomal RNA", at positions 35 to 154 of the family's 154-position model. The record is from RNAcentral.
GAUGAAGAACGCAGCAAAAUGCGAUAAGUAGUGUGAGUUGCAGAAUUCAGUGAAUCAUCGAAUCUUUGAACGCACAUUGCGCCCCUUGGUAUCCCGAGGGGCAUGCCUGUUCGAGCGUCAUUUCACCACUCAAGCCUGGCUUGGUGUUGGGCGACGUCCCCUUUAGGGACGCGCCUCGAAACGCUCGGCGGCGCGGCACCGGCUUUAAGCGUAGCAGAAUCUUUCGCUUUGGAAGUCGGGGCCCCGCCUGCCGGAAUACCUACUUGUAAGGUUGACCUCGGAUCAGGCAGGGAUACCCGCUGAACUUAAGCAUAUCAAUAAGCGGAGGA